AUAAAAAUAUUUUCAAUGUUUCAAAUAACGCUACAUCCGAAAAGAAUUUUUUUACCACCAGAGAGUUAUUUCUUGUCUCGUGUUUUUUUUUAACUUAAUAUUUGUUUUUCAGUUGUCAGCAUUUUACAAUGCAUCUAUAAUCAGCUCCCGACUAUGGUUUUGUUCUAUAAUUGUGACUUGGAUUGAGAAGUGCCUCAUUUGGACUCGUACCACAUUUUUUUAAAUGGAAGUUGUACUAAAAUUAGAUUUUAUAUCAUUCAUCAAUACAAAUUGGAAAGCUUUCUCAUGGACUCUUUUUUUCACGGCAGGAUUGUUCUUAACAUUGUGUAAUGAUUUUUGUAUUAAAUACAUCAUCUAGUUCUCGAAAGUAUCAACUUCAAGUUAUAACAUCAUCUAAUCCAUAAUUUGAAUUAAAUAUAUAUAAAUACAGAAGGGUAAAACAUAUUGCUUUAUUGUGGUAAUCAUUUGGGCAACUUAAAAAGAUAAAAUAGAUGACUAAUCUGUUUUGCCGUAUUUACAUUUCGACUCAUGAAAUAUACAAGUUUAUGAAACGUGCUUGAGGAAAUAAAUUUUAACCAUUUCUUAAAAAGAACUUGUACAGUAAUUAAUUAAUAACAACGGUGUUAUUUAAGAAAGGGAAAACGAAACAAUUCAUGCCACAGAAACAUUAAUUGAACGCUAUUGUGUUAUUUUGAACUGUAGUUUAUGUCUGUCAUUAUUAACAUAUUAUUGUAUCAUUUUUGAAGGACGCCAUGUUUUGUUUUAAAUUUAAAUGUAUAUUCACGAUGUGGCCGAAUUUUCUAAUCUUGUACAUAACUGUCUUUUUAAAACAAAAUUAUUUCCUUGUUUGUGGCUCUAUGUAUGUUUAAUAUCAUUUCCUGAAAAGUAUACCACAUGUAAACAUACGUUAUCUGUCCUAUCAAUAACAUUGUCAUCUCGUGAAUAAGUAUUGGUACUAUUUCAUUUGAAUACUACUAUCGGGCUUAUAAUCUCUGAUUAUGGGCUUUCAAUCUCCGGAAGUACCCCUACCAGGUAAAUAAAUUCGAUCAAGAAUUUGGAACUAUCAUAAAUACUGAUAAAGUUUUAUGGUGUUUUGUGUCUGUCAUUAAAGAAAGCUGUCUCCUACGUGAACAUCUCAUUGUCACUGUUAGGAAAUGUGCAUCUGGAUCAGUAAAAUUGGUACCGUUUAAUUUUAUUAUUUAUUAUGAAUACUCACGUACUGAAAAUUGGCUUCCAACAUGUCUGUGCAGAAUUCAUACGUUAUUACAGAACAUGAUGUUAUACAUUGUUUGAGUUAGACUGUUUAAAUGACUAGUGUUCUAUUUUAUAAUUUCGAAAUAAUAAAACUCGGUAGUGUUUGUCAGUGUUUUUUUUUUUAUUUGUGUACAUUUAGAAAUAAGGUAUAAAUAGCAUUAUUUCAAUUGUUUGUAUAAAAGGGUGACAAAUCCAUGUUAAAAAAUCGAAAACGACUAAAAGACAAACGACUUUCUACAAACCACAACAUAGAAAACUGAAGACAACAAGAAACCCAACAACAAAGUAUGGAGGUAAUAUCAGGUGUUCCGAAAGGAUGAGAAACCCUGUUCAACAUGUAGAAAUUCAUUUACUUACUAAAUUCAGGGGUUUAAUUCUAGUCUGUCAGUUCAAAACAUGUUGUUUAUUUUGAAACUGAACAACAGAAAUAAAACGACAGAAUAUAAAGUCGAAAGAAAACCGAAAAA
RNAcentral lists this long non-coding RNA (1721 nucleotides) under Mytilus galloprovincialis (Mediterranean mussel). The record is from RNAcentral. Lineage: Eukaryota; Metazoa; Mollusca; Bivalvia; Mytilida; Mytilidae.